This 1725-nucleotide ribosomal RNA is filed under the name Escherichia coli. RNAcentral's name for it is "partial 23S ribosomal RNA". It matches the Rfam family "Bacterial large subunit ribosomal RNA", at positions 121 to 1869 of the family's 2925-position model. The record is from RNAcentral. Lineage: Bacteria; Pseudomonadati; Pseudomonadota; Gammaproteobacteria; Enterobacterales; Enterobacteriaceae.
GGGAAACCCAGUGUGAUUCGUCACACUAUCAUUAACUGAAUCCAUAGGUUAAUGAGGCGAACCGGGGGAACUGAAACAUCUAAGUACCCCGAGGAAAAGAAAUCAACCGAGAUUCCCCCAGUAGCGGCGAGCGAACGGGGAGGAGCCCAGAGCCUGAAUCAGUGUGUGUGUUAGUGGAAGCGUCUGGAAAGGCGCGCGAUACAGGGUGACAGCCCCGUACACAAAAAUGCACAUGCUGUGAGCUCGAUGAGUAGGGCGGGACACGUGGUAUCCUGUCUGAAUAUGGGGGGACCAUCCUCCAAGGCUAAAUACUCCUGACUGACCGAUAGUGAACCAGUACCGUGAGGGAAAGGCGAAAAGAACCCCGGCGAGGGGAGUGAAAAAGAACCUGAAACCGUGUACGUACAAGCAGUGGGAGCACAGAGCAAUCUGUGUGACUGCGUACCUUUUGUAUAAUGGGUCAGCGACUUAUAUUCUGUAGCAAGGUUAACCGAAUAGGGGAGCCGAAGGGAAACCGAGUCUUAACUGGGCGUUAAGUUGCAGGGUAUAGACCCGAAACCCGGUGAUCUAGCCAUGGGCAGGUUGAAGGUUGGGUAACACUAACUGGAGGACCGAACCGACUAAUGUUGAAAAAUUAGCGGAUGACUUGUGGCUGGGGGUGAAAGGCCAAUCAAACCGGGAGAUAGCUGGUUCUCCCCGAAAGCUAUUUAGGUAGCGCCUCGUGAAUUCAUCUCCGGGGGUAGAGCACUGUUUCGGCAAGGGGGUCAUCCCGACUUACCAACCCGAUGCAAACUGCGAAUACCGGAGAAUGUUAUCACGGGAGACACACGGCGGGUGCUAACGUCCGUCGUGAAGAGGGAAACAACCCAGACCGCCAGCUAAGGUCCCAAAGUCAUGGUUAAGUGGGAAACGAUGUGGGAAGGCCCAGACAGCCAGGAUGUUGGCUUAGAAGCAGCCAUCAUUUAAAGAAAGCGUAAUAGCUCACUGGUCGAGUCGGCCUGCGCGGAAGAUGUAACGGGGCUAAACCAUGCACCGAAGCUGCGGCAGCGACGCUUAUGCGUUGUUGGGUAGGGGAGCGUUCUGUAAGCCUGUGAAGGUGUGCUGUGAGGCAUGCUGGAGGUAUCAGAAGUGCGAAUGCUGACAUAAGUAACGAUAAAGCGGGUGAAAAGCCCGCUCGCCGGAAGACCAAGGGUUCCUGUCCAACGUUAAUCGGGGCAGGGUGAGUCGACCCCUAAGGCGAGGCCGAAAGGCGUAGUCGAUGGGAAACAGGUUAAUAUUCCUGUACUUGGUGUUACUGCGAAGGGGGGGACGGAGAAGGCUAUGUUGGCCGGGCGACGGUUGUCCCGGUUUAAGCGUGUAGGCUGGUUUUCCAGGCAAAUCCGGAAAAUCAAGGCUGAGGCGUGAUGACGAGGCACUACGGUGCUGAAGCAACAAAUGCCCUGCUUCCAGGAAAAGCCUCUAAGCAUCAGGUAACAUCAAAUCGUACCCCAAACCGACACAGGUGGUCAGGUAGAGAAUACCAAGGCGCUUGAGAGAACUCGGGUGAAGGAACUAGGCAAAAUGGUGCCGUAACUUCGGGAGAAGGCACGCUGAUAUGUAGGUGAAGUCCCUCGCGGAUGGAGCUGAAAUCAGUCGAAGAUACCAGCUGGCUGCAACUGUUUAUUAAAAACACAGCACUGUGCAAACACGAAAGUGGACGUAUACGGUGUGACGCCUGCCCGGUGC